CGAGCUGGGUUCAGAACGUCGUGAGACAGUUCGGUCCCUAUCCGUCGCAGGCGUAGGAAAUUUGAGAAGACCUGUCCUUAGUACGAGAGGACCGGGAUGGACGUAUCUCUGGUGUACCAGUUGUCCUGCCAAGGGCAUGGCUGGGUAGCUAUGUACGGAAUGGAUAAGCGCUGAAAGCAUCUAAGCGCGAAGCCAACUUCAAGAUAAGAUUUCCCACCGCAAGGGUAAGACCCCAGAAAGACUAUCUGGUUGAUAGGUCGAAGGUGUAAGUGCAGCAAUGUAUUUAGCUUAUCGAUACU
RNAcentral lists this ribosomal RNA (299 nucleotides) under Clostridioides difficile. Its description in RNAcentral is "partial 23S ribosomal RNA". It matches the Rfam family "Bacterial large subunit ribosomal RNA", at positions 2601 to 2902 of the family's 2925-position model. The record is from RNAcentral. Lineage: Bacteria; Bacillati; Bacillota; Clostridia; Peptostreptococcales; Peptostreptococcaceae.